RNAcentral lists this ribosomal RNA (383 nucleotides) under uncultured Glomus. Its description in RNAcentral is "SSU rRNA". It matches the Rfam family "Eukaryotic small subunit ribosomal RNA", at positions 569 to 955 of the family's 1831-position model. Lineage: Eukaryota; Fungi; Glomeromycota; Glomeromycetes; Glomerales; Glomeraceae. The record is from RNAcentral.
AGCAGCCGCGGUAAUUCCAGCUCCAAUAGCGUAUAUUAAAGUUGUUGCAGUUAAAAAGCUCGUAGUUGAAUUUCGGGAUCAAUAUGCUGGUCGUGCCUUUGGUACGUACUGGCAUUAUUGGUUUCUCCUUUCUGAUGAAUCACGAUGUCAUUAAUUUGGUGUCAUGGGGAAUCAGGACUGUUACUUUAGAAAAAAUUAGAGUGUUUAAAGCAGGCUUACGCUUGAAUACAUUAGCAUGGAAUAAUGAAAUAGGACGUUUAAUUCUAUUUUGUUGGUUUCUAGGAUUGACGUAAUGAUUAAUAGGGAUAGUUGGGGGCAUUAGUAUUCAAUUGUCAGAGGUGAAAUUCUUGGAUUUAUUGAAGACUAACUACUGCGAAAGCAUU